This 615-nucleotide ribosomal RNA is filed under the name Actinomycetales bacterium A256. RNAcentral's name for it is "bacterial SSU rRNA". It matches the Rfam family "Bacterial small subunit ribosomal RNA", at positions 50 to 681 of the family's 1533-position model. The record is from RNAcentral. Lineage: Bacteria; Bacillati; Actinomycetota; Actinomycetes; Actinomycetales.
UACACAUGCAAGUCGAACGAUGAACCACUUCGGUGGGGAUUAGUGGCGAACGGGUGAGUAACACGUGGGCAAUCUGCCCUGCACUCUGGGACAAGCCCUGGAAACGGGGUCUAAUACCGGAUACUGACCCUCGCAGGCAUCUGCGAGGUUCGAAAGCUCCGGCGGUGCAGGAUGAGCCCGCGGCCUAUCAGCUUGUUGGUGAGGUAAUGGCUCACCAAGGCGACGACGGGUAGCCGGCCUGAGAGGGCGACCGGCCACACUGGGACUGAGACACGGCCCAGACUCCUACGGGAGGCAGCAGUGGGGAAUAUUGCACAAUGGGCGAAAGCCUGAUGCAGCGACGCCGCGUGAGGGAUGACGGCCUUCGGGUUGUAAACCUCUUUCAGCAGGGAAGAAGCGAAAGUGACGGUACCUGCAGAAGAAGCGCCGGCUAACUACGUGCCAGCAGCCGCGGUAAUACGUAGGGCGCGAGCGUUGUCCGGAAUUAUUGGGCGUAAAGAGCUCGUAGGCGGCUUGUCACGUCGGUUGUGAAAGCCCGGGGCUUAACCCCGGGUCUGCAGUCGAUACGGGCAGGCUAGAGUUCGGUAGGGGAGAUCGGAAUUCCUGGUGUAGCGU